Molecule: microRNA precursor, 59 nt
Filed under: Parasteatoda tepidariorum (common house spider)
Lineage: Eukaryota; Metazoa; Arthropoda; Arachnida; Araneae; Theridiidae
Description: microRNA pte-mir-263a precursor
Gene: pte-mir-263a
Source: miRBase by way of RNAcentral
CUUGGCACUGUAAGAAUUCACAGAUGGAUAUCAAAUCGUGGAUUCUUUGGUGCUAAAGA